This 73-nucleotide transfer RNA is filed under the name Bacillus subtilis subsp. subtilis str. BAB-1. RNAcentral describes it as "tRNA-Phe (GAA) (tRNA-Phe-GAA-2-1)". It matches the Rfam family "tRNA". Rfam says of the family: Transfer RNA (tRNA) molecules are approximately 80 nucleotides in length. Their secondary structure includes four short double-helical elements and three loops (D, anti-codon, and T loops). The record is from RNAcentral. Lineage: Bacteria; Bacillati; Bacillota; Bacilli; Caryophanales; Bacillaceae.
GGCUCGGUAGCUCAGUUGGUAGAGCAACGGACUGAAAAUCCGUGUGUCGGCGGGUUGAUUCCGUCCCGAGCCA